AAGUAUCAUUAACUGAAUACAUAGGUUAAUGAGGCGAACCGGGGGAACUGAAACAUCUAAGUACCCCGAGGAAAAGAAAUCAACCGAGAUUCCGAAAGUAGCGGCGAGCGAAAUUGGACUAGCCCUUAAGCUUUAUAUGCGUUAGACGAACGGUCUGGAAAGUCCGGCGAUACAGGGUGAUAGCCCCGUAGUUGACAACGCACAUUCAGUGAAAUCGAGUAGGGCGGGACACGUGAUAUCCUGUCUGAAUAUGGGGGGACCAUCCUCCAAGGCUAAAUACUACUGACUGACCGAUAGUGAACCAGUACCGUGAGGGAAAGGCGAAAAGAACCCCUGUGAGGGGAGUGAAAUAGAACCUGAAACCGUGUACGUACAAGCAGUAGGAGCACCUUCGUGGUGUGACUGCGUACCUUUUGUAUAAUGGGUCAGCGACUUAUAUUCAGUGGCAAGGUUAACCAUCUAGGGGAGCCGUAGGGAAACCGAGUCUUAACUGGGCGCUCAGUCUCUGGAUAUAGACCCGAAACCAGGUGAUCUAGCCAUGGGCAGGUUGAAGGUUGAGUAACAUCAACUGGAGGACCGAACCGACUAAUGUUGAAAAAUUAGCGGAUGACUUGUGGCUAGGGGUGAAAGGCCAAUCAAACCUGGAGAUAGCUGGUUCUCCCCGAAAGCUAUUUAGGUAGCGCCUCGGACGAAUACUACUGGGGGUAGAGCACUGUUAAGGCUAGGGGGUCAUCCCGACUUACCAACCCUUUGCAAACUCCGAAUACCAGUAAGUACUAUCCGGGAGACACACGGCGGGUGCUAACGUCCGUCGUGGAGAGGGAAACAACCCAGACCGCCAGCUAAGGUCCCAAAUUAUUACUAAGUGGGAAACGAUGUGGGAAGGCUUAGACAGCUAGGAUGUUGGCUUAGAAGCAGCCAUCAUUUAAAGAAAGCGUAAUAGCUCACUAGUCGAGUCGGCCUGCGCGGAAGAUGUAACGGGGCUAAGUAAUAAACCGAAGCUGCGGCAAUGAAGUUUACUUCAUUGGGUAGGGGAGCGUUCUGUAAGCCGUUGAAGGUGAGUUGUAAAGCUUGCUGGAGGUAUCAGAAGUGCGAAUGCUGACAUGAGUAACGAUAAAGGGGGUGAAAAACCCCCUCGCCGGAAGACCAAGGGUGAAGUCAUUGAUGCCAUGCUUCCAGGAAAAGCCUCUAAGCUUCAGAUUGUAAGGAAUCGUACCCCAAACCGACACAGGUGGUCGGGUAGAGAAUACCAAGGCGCUUGAGAGAACUCGGGUGAAGGAACUAGGCAAAAUGGUACCGUAACUUCGGGAGAAGGUACGCUUCUGACGGUGAAGUCCCUUGCGGAUGGAGCUAUCGGAAGUCGCAGAUACCAGGUGGCUGCAACUGUUUAUUAAAAACACAGCACUGUGCAAAAUCGUAAGAUGACGUAUACGGUGUGACGCCUGCCCGGUGCCGGAAGGUUAAUUGAUGGGGUUAGACUUCGGUCGAAGCUCUUGAUCGAAGCCCCGGUAAACGGCGGCCGUAACUAUAACGGUCCUAAGGUAGCGAAAUUCCUUGUCGGGUAAGUUCCGACCUGCACGAAUGGCGUAAUGAUGGCCACGCUGUCUCCACCCGAGACUCAGUGAAAUUGAAAUCGCUGUGAAGAUGCAGUGUACCCGCGGCUAGACGGAAAGACCCCGUGAACCUUUACUACAGCUUGGCACUGAACAUUGAGCCUACAUGUGUAGGAUAGGUGGGAGGCUUUGAAGCAGGUACGCCAGUAUCUGUGGAGCCGACCUUGAAAUACCACCCUUGUAUGUUUGAUGUUCUAACUUAGCCCCAUUAUCUGGGGUGAGGACAGUGCCUGGUGGGUAGUUUGACUGGGGCGGUCUCCUCCCAAAGAGUAACGGAGGAGCACGAAGGUGGGCUAAUCACGGUUGGACAUCGUGAGGUUAGUGCAAUGGCAUAAGCCCGCUUGACUGCGAGAAUGACAAUUCGAGCAGGUGCGAAAGCAGGUCAUAGUGAUCCGGUGGUUCUGAAUGGAAGGGCCAUCGCUCAACGGAUAAAAGGUACUCCGGGGAUAACAGGCUGAUACCGCCCAAGAGUUCAUAUCGACGGCGGUGUUUGGCACCUCGAUGUCGGCUCAUCACAUCCUGGGGCUGAAGUCGGUCCCAAGGGUAUGGCUGUUCGCCAUUUAAAGUGGUACGCGAGCUGGGUUUAGAACGUCGUGAGACAGUUCGGUCCCUAUCUGCCGUGGGCGUUGGAAGAUUGAAGGGGGCUGCUCCUAGUACGAGAGGACCGGAGUGGACGAACCUCUGGUGUUCGGGUUGUGUCGCCAGACGCAUUGCCCGGUAGCUAAGUUCGGAAUCGAUAACCGCUGAAAGCAUCUAAGCGGGAAGCGAGCCCUGAGAUGAGUCUUCCCUGACCCCUUGAGGGUCCUAAAGGGUUGUUCGAGACUAGAACGUUGAUAGGCAGGGUGUGUAAGCGUUGUGAGGCGUUGAGCUAACCUGUACUAAUUGCCCGUGAGGCUUAACCAUACAACACCCAAAGGGUUUUG
Molecule: ribosomal RNA, 2536 nt
Filed under: Vibrio hepatarius
Lineage: Bacteria; Pseudomonadati; Pseudomonadota; Gammaproteobacteria; Vibrionales; Vibrionaceae
Description: partial 23S ribosomal RNA
Rfam family: Bacterial large subunit ribosomal RNA
Source: RNAcentral